RNAcentral lists this ribosomal RNA (509 nucleotides) under uncultured bacterium. Its description in RNAcentral is "partial 16S ribosomal RNA". It matches the Rfam family "Bacterial small subunit ribosomal RNA", at positions 27 to 507 of the family's 1533-position model. The record is from RNAcentral.
GGACGAACGCUGGCGGCGUGCCUAAUACAUGCAAGUCGAACGCUUCUUUCCUCCCGAGUGCUUGCACUCAAUUGGAAAGAGGAGUGGCGGACGGGUGAGUAACACGUGGGUAACCUACCCAUCAGAGGGGGAUAACACUUGGAAACAGGUGCUAAUACCGCAUAACAGUUUAUGCCGCAUGGCAUAAGAGUGAAAGGCGCUUUCGGGUGUCGCUGAUGGAUGGACCCGCGGUGCAUUAGCUAGUUGGUGAGGUAACGGCUCACCAAGGCCACGAUGCAUAGCCGACCUGAGAGGGUGAUCGGCCACACUGGGACUGAGACACGGCCCAGACUCCUACGGGAGGCAGCAGUAGGGAAUCUUCGGCAAUGGACGAAAGUCUGACCGAGCAACGCCGCGUGAGUGAAGAAGGUCUUCGGAUCGUAAAACUCUGUUGUUAGAGAAGAACAAGGACGUUAGUAACUGAACGUCUCCUGACGGUACCUAAACAGAAAGCCACGGCUAACUACGUG